Molecule: ribosomal RNA, 253 nt
Filed under: uncultured bacterium
Lineage: Bacteria
Description: partial 16S ribosomal RNA
Rfam family: Bacterial small subunit ribosomal RNA
Source: RNAcentral
UACGUAGGGGGCGAGCGUUGUCCGAAGUUACUGGGCGUAAAGAGCGUGUAGGCGGCCAUACAGGUCAGCUGUGAAAACUCGAGGCUCAACCUCGAGACGUCGGUUGAAACCGUAUGGCUAGAGUCCGGAAGAGGAGAGUGGAAUUCCCGGUGUAGCGGUGAAAUGCGCAGAUAUCGGGAAGAACACCCGUGGCGAAGGCGGCUCUCUGGGACGGUACUGACGCUGAGACGCGAAAGCGUGGGGAGCGAACAGG